This 253-nucleotide ribosomal RNA is filed under the name uncultured bacterium. RNAcentral describes it as "partial 16S ribosomal RNA". It matches the Rfam family "Bacterial small subunit ribosomal RNA", at positions 524 to 776 of the family's 1533-position model. The record is from RNAcentral.
UACGGAGGGAGCUAGCGUUGUUCGGAAUUACUGGGCGUAAAGCGCACGUAGGCGGCUUUGUAAGUUAGAGGUGAAAGCCCGGGGCUCAACUCCGGAAUUGCCUUUAAGACUGCAUCGCUUGAAUCCGGGAGAGGUGAGUGGAAUUCCGAGUGUAGAGGUGAAAUUCGUAGAUAUUCGGAAGAACACCAGUGGCGAAGGCGGCUCACUGGACCGGUAUUGACGCUGAGGUGCGAAAGCGUGGGGAGCAAACAGG